Molecule: ribosomal RNA, 469 nt
Filed under: uncultured bacterium
Lineage: Bacteria
Description: partial 16S ribosomal RNA
Rfam family: Bacterial small subunit ribosomal RNA
Source: RNAcentral
GACGAACGCUGGCGGCGUGCUUAACACAUGCAAGUCGAACGAUGAAGCACCAGCUUGCUGGUGUGGAUUAGUGGCGAACGGGUGAGUAACACGUGAGUAACCUGCCCCUCACUCUGGGAUAAGCCUGGGAAACUGGGUCUCAUACUGGAUACGACCGAUCUCCGCAUGGAGUGUUGGUGGAAAGUUUUUGUGGUGGGGGAUGGACUCGCGGCCUAUCAGCUUGUUGGUGGGGUAGUGGCCUACCAAGGCGACGACGGGUAGCCGGCCUGAGAGGGGGACCGGCCACCCUGGGACUGAGACACGGCCCAGACUCCUACGGGAGGCAGCAGUGGGGAAUAUUGCACAAUGGGCGAAAGCCUGAUGCAGCGACGCCGCGUGAGGGAUGACGGCCUUCGGGUUGUAAACCUCUUUCACCAGGGACGAAGCUAACGUGACGGUACCUGGAGAAGAAGCACCGGCUAACUACGUG